RNAcentral lists this ribosomal RNA (475 nucleotides) under uncultured organism. RNAcentral describes it as "partial 16S ribosomal RNA". It matches the Rfam family "Bacterial small subunit ribosomal RNA", at positions 331 to 797 of the family's 1533-position model. The record is from RNAcentral.
GUACACUCCUACGGGAGGCAGCAGUGGGGAAUUUUGGACAAUGGGCGAAAGCCUGAUCCAGCAAUGCCGCGUGUGUGAAGAAGGCCUUCGGGUUGUAAAGCACUUUUGUCCGGAAAGAAAUCCUUGGCUCUAAUACAGUCGGGGGAUGACGGUACCGGAAGAAUAAGCACCGGCUAACUACGUGCCAGCAGCCGCGGUAAUACGUAGGGUGCGAGCGUUAAUCGGAAUUACUGGGCGUAAAGCGUGCGCAGGCGGUUUGCUAAGACCGAUGUGAAAUCCCCGGGCUCAACCUGGGAACUGCAUUGGUGACUGGCAGGCUAGAGUAUGGCAGAGGGGGGUAGAAUUCCACGUGUAGCAGUGAAAUGCGUAGAGAUGUGGAGGAAUACCGAUGGCGAAGGCAGCCCCCUGGGCCAAUACUGACGCUCAUGCACGAAAGCGUGGGGAGCAAACAGGAUUAGAAACCCGUGUAGUCCCA